This 393-nucleotide ribosomal RNA is filed under the name uncultured bacterium. RNAcentral describes it as "partial 16S ribosomal RNA". It matches the Rfam family "Bacterial small subunit ribosomal RNA", at positions 523 to 918 of the family's 1533-position model. The record is from RNAcentral.
AUACGGAGGAUCCGAGCGUUAUCCGGAUUUAUUGGGUUUAAAGGGUGCGCAGGCGGGAGAUUAAGUCGGCGGUGAAAUUUUGCAGCUCAACUGUAAAAAUGCCUUCGAAACUGGUUUCCUUGAGUGUAGAUGAAGUAGGCGGAAUUUGUGGGGUAGCGGUGAAAUGCAUAGAUAUCACGAGGAACUACGAUUGCGCAGGCAGCUUACUAAACUACUACUGACGCUCAGGCACGAAGGCGUGGGGAUCAAACAGGAAUAGAUACCCUGGUAGUCCACGCAGUAAACGAUGAUUACUAGCUGUUUGCGAUACAAUGUAAGCGGCUGAGCGAAAGCGUUAAGUAAUCCACCUGGGGAGUACGGUCGCAAGAAUGAAACUCAAAUGAAUUGACGGGG